This 867-nucleotide long non-coding RNA is filed under the name Elaeis guineensis (African oil palm). Its description in RNAcentral is "long non-coding RNA (EGUI_LNC016200)". Lineage: Eukaryota; Viridiplantae; Streptophyta; Magnoliopsida; Arecales; Arecaceae. The record is from RNAcentral.
CUCUUACAUCCAAGUUGCUGAAUCCUGCCACAGAGACAAAGCUACAGCAUUCUAGAGAUCGCUGUAUCUAAUCCAUAUAAUGUUGAAAAGACAUUAAACCGAACGCAAACAGUAUUACCAUCGCAUGGAUCAGGUACAUACUGCACGUUCUACUUUCCAAACAGUAUUUAGAACCAGAAACGCAUAAUCUGGGACAUAAUUCCAUGUCACUGCGAAUGCAAGACCAUUUUAGCCCAACCAAAGCCACAAGUUAAUUUUUAACCAUGAUGGUGAUUAAACAUCUUGCUGAGGCAAAAAUACAGGAAUAUUCUGGGUGAGUGCGUUUUCUGAAACAGAAACCUGGCGGCCCUCCCUGUGCUCCUGCAGUGACAGUCCCACAUAGUGGGGGGGGCCAUGCGGUGCACACAGUCCUCCAAGCGGCUUAAGGAACGGCCCCCAUCAUACAGGCCAAUUAUGCAUGCAGCACAGGCAUUGCAACCACAGAAACAUGCUCAUUAUGGAGAUCCUUUAAAAUUCUGGGGAACAAUUAUGAAGUGUAACUAAGUCUUCCAGGGAACCUCGCAAUGCACCAGUAUGACCACAGCAGCAAAAACCAAAGCACUACAUAAUACUAGGAAGUCAGUGCACAGACACUAGCAUCCACCAUGCAUCCCAAAAGAUCAUUCAUUUGCAACCACUAACAAAAUCAUGACAUGGCCAACAGCUGUUAGCUCAGCUGGUUAGCACCCUUCUCCUAAGGGCUUACCCUUUGGAGGUCCAAGCUUCAAACCCGAGCAGUAGCCCCGAACAAGAACAAAAAAUCACAAGUUUACUCUUCCAGAAAUGGGAGCAGAUUCCCUAUUGAAUGGCGAUACGUAUUGAUUCCAU